GUACUACUCUCAGAGUUUGAUCCUGGCUCAGGAUGAACGCUGGCGGCGUGCUUAACACAUGCAAGUCGAACGGAGUUUGAAUAAGGAAGCCCUCGGGUGGAAUUAUUCAAACUUAGUGGCGGACGGGUGAGUAACGCGUGGGUAACCUGCCGUAUACAGGGGGAUAACACUUAGAAAUAGGUGCUAAUACCGCAUAAGCGCACAGUAUCGCAUGAUACAGUGUGAAAAGCCUUGACGGUAUACGAUGGACCCGCGUCUGAUUAGCUAGUUGGUGAGGUAGAGGCUCACCAAGGCGACGAUCAGUAGCCGGCCUGAGAGGGUGACCGGCCACAUUGGGACUGAGACACGGCCCAA
This 354-nucleotide ribosomal RNA is filed under the name uncultured bacterium. RNAcentral's name for it is "bacterial SSU rRNA". It matches the Rfam family "Bacterial small subunit ribosomal RNA", at positions 1 to 334 of the family's 1533-position model. The record is from RNAcentral.